GACGAACGCUGGCGGCGUGCCUAAUACAUGCAAGUAGAACGCUGAAGAAAGGAGCUUGCUUCUUUUGGAUGAGUUGCGAACGGGUGAGUAACGCGUAGGUAACCUGCCUUGUAGCGGGGGAUAACUAUUGGAAACGAUAGCUAAUACCGCAUAACAGCUUUUGACACAUGUUAGAAGCUUGAAAGAUGCAAUUGCAUCACUACGAGAUGGACCUGCGUUGUAUUAGCUAGUAGGUAGGGUAACGGCCUACCUAGGCGACGAUACAUAGCCGACCUGAGAGGGUGAUCGGCCACACUGGGACUGAGACACGGCCCAGACUCCUACGGGAGGCAGCAGUGGGGAAUAUUGCACAAUGGGGGAAACCCUGAUGCAGCAACGCCGCGUGAGUGAUGACGGUCUUCGGAUUGUAAACUNUUUACCAGGACGAAGGACGUGACGGUACCUGGAGAAAAAAGCAACGGCUAACUACGUG
Molecule: ribosomal RNA, 472 nt
Filed under: uncultured bacterium
Lineage: Bacteria
Description: bacterial SSU rRNA
Rfam family: Bacterial small subunit ribosomal RNA
Source: RNAcentral